CACGGCCUAUCAGCUUGUUGGUGAGGUAAUGGCUUACCAAGGCGACGANGGGUAGCCGGCCUGAGAGGGUGACCGGCYACACUGGGACUGAGACACGGCCCAGACUCCUACGGGAGGCAGCAGUGGGGAAUAUUGCACAAUGGGCGCAAGCCUGAUGCAGCGACGCCGCGUGAGGGAUGACGGCCUUCGGGUUGUAAACCUCUGUUAGCAUCGAAGAAGCGAAAGUGACGGUAGGUGCAGAGAAAGCGCCGGCUAACUACGUGCCAGCAGCCGCGGUAAUACGUAGGGCGCGAGCGUUGUCCGGAAUUAUUGGGCGUAAAGAGCUUGUAGGCGGUUGGUCGCGUCUGCUGUGAAAGGCUGGGGCUUAACCCUGGUUUUGCAGUGGGUACGGGCUAACUAGAGUGCAGUAGGGGAGACUGGAAUUCCUGGUGUAGCGGUGGAAUGCGCAGAUAUCAGGAGGAACACCGAUGGCGAAGGCAGGUCUCUGGGCUGUAACUGACGCUGAGAAGCGAAAGCAUGGGGAGCGAACAGGAUUAGAUACCCUGGUAGUCCAUGCCGUAAACGUUGGGCACUAGGUGUGGGGGACAUUCCACGUUUUCCGCGCCGUAGCUAACGCAUUAAGUGCCCCGCCUGGGGAGUACGG
This 643-nucleotide ribosomal RNA is filed under the name uncultured actinomycete. RNAcentral's name for it is "bacterial SSU rRNA". It matches the Rfam family "Bacterial small subunit ribosomal RNA", at positions 232 to 885 of the family's 1533-position model. Lineage: Bacteria; Bacillati; Actinomycetota; Actinomycetes; Actinomycetales. The record is from RNAcentral.